CCUCUAUUUCUUUCUGAAAAGUUACUUUUACGUUUGUCUUAUUUAAAUGUGCUGAAAUAUUUGCACUAGAAACUAGACCAAAAUUAUUUGGUAAGAUUUUGUGUUUUUGCAGUGUGCAGUGAAAACUUUUGAGCUUGGGGAGAUUAUUAAAAGUUUUCUAAGACGAGUCUGGUAAAUCUGAGACGCCAGAACCAAAAAAAGAUGUGGAGAUGAAAGUAUGGAUUAUGCCAGGUUUACAUGGAACAACCCAGCCAAAGCACGUUCUCAGAAUCAAAUAAAAUCCAUCUGUUACAGGUAAGAAUUGGUCCAAAAUGUGCUGUAUUAUAUGAAUACCAAAUUAAAGUCAGUCUAAAACUUUAUCGUUGAGUUGCUUGGAAAGCUUCUCUUUGCUUUUCUCUCUACUUUGUGAUGAAAAACUUAAGGAAUUUCUUUUUCCAGCUCUGGGUUUUAAUGCGCCACCUGCAGCAAUCAGCCAACAUCAGAACGCUUUCAGAAGCAGCUUGAAGCAGCACGGACCAUAAAACAUAACUCUCUUUCACCUUUUUCGCUUUGUAGACACUUCAUGGUUUUUGCUGAGGUCCUUAUCCAUCUCUGCCUAAUGGAGGAUUUGAGACACUCCAGUUAACUUUUAGACUCCAUAUUGUGCAAAGCUCUCAGUUGAAGUAAGGGAUUUUCAUGAUGUGAGCUUAUAAAGCAUUUUUAUUUUAUUUUUAUCCUCUGUGCUCUUUUGAAAGAAAUUACCUACCAUUUCAACUCUAAAAAUCUGCUGUCUUGUUUAGCAGUUUUUCUUCUACUAGAGUAACAAAAGAUAAAAGAAAAAUGCUCUCACCUGGGAAGACAACUGGAAGAAAUUCUUCUUUCCUUUCAGCAGCAACACAAAUGUGAUGUUAAUUCAAGAUUAUUCUGCAAAGUGAUCAGAUUCAUAAUAAUUUCAUAGAAUCAAGGUACAAUUAUUGAAGUAAUUAUAAGUUUUUACGUGUUUCCUGGGCUAACAGGAAAAUUACAACUUAUGUAGGUCAACAUGUUGAACUAGUCGUGGUUUGAAAUGCAGUUAAAAUGUCUGGAAAUGUUGAAACUUUGACAAUUCAGUCAGUAUUUAAACACAAAUAAUGUACACAAUUUAUUUUAGAAAAAAUGUUAGGCGCUCAGCUUGGGUUGCUAGGUGAUGGGCGGAGUUCUGUUGGGGUUGCUAGGUGAUGGGCAGAGUUCUGUUGGGGUUGCUAGGUGAUGGGCAGAGUUCUGUUGGGGUUGCUAGGUGAUGGGCAGAGUUCUGUUGGGGUUGCUAGGUGAUGGGCAGAGUUCUGUUGGGGUUGCCAGGUAACGGAUAAUUCCGGAGGUUUUUGUAGCUGCUCAAAAAGAACAAAACAUUUACCUAUAAAAAAAAACAAACAGCUUGGUGUUUUGGUUUUUCUUAAGCACUUGAACUGUUUGUAGAGGAAAGUGGAAGAACAAAUAUGUCAAAAAUGUAAAUUUUGCAAAAUCGGUCCCCUUUAAACGACAGGAUUUCUCUGUAAGAAUUACUUCACACCCAUGAGUCCUGUAAGAAGUUGUGUAAAAAUAAAUCAGUAUGAAAUAGGUCAUGACAUCUGCCAGGAGCUAUGCUUCCUCUUCCUGCCGUCUAAACUCGUGGGUUCAUGUUGGACUCUAAGGGCUCCUGAAAGAUCGUCCUGUUGAAACGUGGCUCAGAUUGAACGCCCUCUCUUCCUGCAUGUUCUCUCUCCCGUUGUUUAUUGUGUCUCUUGUCAUUAGCAUGCAGCAGCUCUCCCUGCAGACCUGUUUAGAUGCAGCAGAAAGCUGUGAUCAGAGGGUCUCCAGGUAUUUUCUGUUCUCAGAGGGAGUAAUUCAGCUCCUCAUGGUCGGCUCUGUGGGGGAAACAGAACAAUAAAAUAACCUGAGGGGAAUUUUUACAGGAACAAGAAUAAUGAUUUUUUUAAAACAAUUUGUUGUUCUAGCUAUAAUUAUCUCCAAAUUUAUUUGGAAAUGUUUCUUUAAGUUUACACUGUAUUCUAUUAAUCGUUUAUUGUUAUAUUUCUAAAAUGUUUGUCACCUUUGUUGAAUACAAAGCUGCAACCUUCACACACUUGACCAAAAUUUGUUGUUUCUAACUUCAUUUUCAAAAAGGUAAAAUGUCUGAAAAGCUAGUUAUUAUUGAAAUAUUUGUCUUUUAUCAGUUUCUAACCCUGAGCUUGACUUAUUUUUUGAAAGAAAUGAAUAAUUUUGUAGGAAAUUCUGACAAACUUGCUCAGCUACAAUUUUCAUGUCUCAUUAAAAGUGUUUUUGUUUUCACAUGCAGAAUAAAUGAACUAAUUAAAUUAUACUCAUCUGAGGUGAAAUUUUGAGAUAAACAGAUGGUUACAUGGAGUCCAUCACUUUGUUUACAGUUGAAAAUAUUGAAAAUCUGUUUUUCCAAUUUAUUUUGUUUUGUUUUGUUUUAAUUAAAUUUCACUCAAAACCUUCCAAUCAUAUUUCCUGAUCACUCAGAGUUUAACCAGCCAUCCUGCUUUAACUAUUCCACAUCAAUACUACAGCCUGCUGAUGUGAUUUACAUCAUAUCUCAGCAUCAGUUGUCCACUUCCUGCAUUAUGUUAAUAUAUGAGCAAAUCCAUAGUGCAGCUCGCUGGAAUGAUAAUUAAAUUAAUGCCUACUUAAGGUUGGUGUUAAGUGUGCUGAAUAAAUGUGCUAAAUGUUCUCCAUCAUGUGUGAAUGGAGCUGAUUAAUGCCUAUUCAUUGCGAAUAAAAAAGCAGCCAUAAGUGGUAAAAGAAGAGGCGUUGCUGCUGCACGGUGAAGGUGGGCAGGAUAAUUAUGAGGAACCGAAUCCUGAUUAGUGAUCUGAUGAGACUGCAGCACUGCGGGCAGCAGUGCUGCCGCUGCCUGAUUACAAACGACAUCGCAGACCUCUGUUGUCAGAUUCUAUCCGUCAUAAUUGUUAUGGAAAAUUAGUCUGGAGGAGAACUUUGGCUCUUUCUGCUGUGUGUUCACAAAACAGUCGGUUUGUUUACAACCCAGCCGAACUGGACAAGCAGAAGCUUUUUCUUGUGUUUGUUGUUUUUGUUCUACAAGGUUUUUUGUUUUUAUUAAAACCAAUUAUUAUUUUCCAUCCUUCGUAUUUCUGCAUUAAUUUGUGUUGGUUUAUCACACAGAAUUCAUAUAUAUUGCAACACGGAAGAAUGUGGAAAAGUUUAAGUUGUAUUAGUUUACAAUCUAUAAUCUGUCUCUGGCUUUUACCGAGCAAUUUUUUUGUGUAGUUAAAGGCAACUUAUUAUAAAAAAUUCACAUUUUGAAUAUUUUUAUACUUCAGUUUUGUUUAUAAUGUUUUAAAAACACCCAGCUGUGUUUUGGCUAUAAGUUAAUGUUUUUCUGGUGUCUGGAAAAUGAGCCGUUUCAAUAUUUUCUGGAGUGUAACGCUGCAAAUCAGCCAUUACCUAGCAACCGCAGUGAAGCCCAGCCUGUUACCUAGCAACUGCAGUGAAGCCCAACCCAUUACCUAGCAACCCCAGUGAAACCCAGCCCGUUGCCAAGCAACCGAAGCCGAGUUCCUGCAUAUUCGGUCAUCUGGUUUAUCGCUGUAUGUAACAAGUUUUUUGCUGUUGACUUUCCAUCCAGAAACCACUUUCUGUGUUCUUGUUGGUUGUGCAGAAGGCUCUACUUCUGCUUUGCAAAGAUGUACGGUUGUAUAAUUGCGAAUCGGUUUGUAGCCAUUUUCACGUACAAGAGUAAACGUUGAGUUUGGGUUUGUGGCCAGAAGCACCUUAUUCAGAUUUAAAGGGACGAGACGCCCUAAAACAG
Molecule: long non-coding RNA, 3787 nt
Organism: Xiphophorus couchianus (Monterrey platyfish)
Lineage: Eukaryota; Metazoa; Chordata; Actinopteri; Cyprinodontiformes; Poeciliidae
Exons: 2
Source: RefSeq, a predicted model, not a curated record